This is a long non-coding RNA of Tigriopus californicus, 844 nucleotides long. RefSeq lists it as uncharacterized. Lineage: Eukaryota; Metazoa; Arthropoda; Copepoda; Harpacticoida; Harpacticidae. The transcript has 3 exons. The record is from RefSeq and is a predicted model, not a curated record.
AACAUCAUCAGCUACAUCAACGAGGACGACGACUACUUGUUUCAUUUAACUCACAUUUGUGUCCUAUCUCUUUCAGUUUUGAUUUACUGGGGACUUAAUCGCCUCAAAGAAUCUCGCUGCCAUCCCUUUAUUGAGUGAGAUUGGACAAGCCAGAGCGAAUUCGACACCGAAUGGACUGACAGAGUUAAACGAGAGAUUAAGGGACGAUGGAGCAUUUUGCUGCAAGAGCACAUCAACAAACAGCCGUCUUUAAAAAUCGAUUCUCCGACAGUUGUGGUAAUCCCCAAAAUACCUUUUACCUUGGACAGGCUUUAGUGUCGGAACAAGAAGCCAGAACUAAAUCACUUGUUGAUUGAGAGCAUUGAGGAAACCCUCCGCCAGUUUAUUAUUACCAUCAUUUCCUUCUCCUCUCGAGUCUGGUGUUCACCACAGAUCGAAGAUUGGUAUCGAUCCAGUUUACGAACCACACGACCCAAACGAAGCAAACGAACUACCUUGAGCGCGCUGAAGAGACUUCCAAUACCCUGAAAAUGUCAAGAGAUAGAAGAGGGCCUUAGAUAUUGAGCCAACACUCGAAGUCACACAACCAUGAUUGCCAUUCAUUUGUAGUUUCUCCGUUGAGAAAUUGGUAAGGAAGAAAGGAAACAGAAAGCCAAGAAAUCUACAGCACACAGUUCAAAAUUCAGCCCAGCUGUCGUUCUUGAUGAACCAUCCCAUUGUGUUCGUUUUUCUGCCCUUGGUCCCAUUCUUCAUGGGCCUUUGUGGAAUCAGGUAGAAGAAUGGUGUCCAAGUAGGAGCUCUAUGGUUGCUGCUGCUCCUCCUACUAUUAUUGUUGCUGUUAUUG